GACGAACGCUGGCGGCGUGCUUAACACAUGCAAGUCGAACGGAAAGGCCCUGCUUUUGUGGGGUGCUCGAGUGCCGAACGGGUGAGUAACACGUGAGUAACCUGCCCUUGACUUUGGGAUAACUUCAGGAAACUGGGGCUAAUACCGGAUAGGAGCUCCUGCUGCAUGGUGGGGGUUGGAAAGUUUCGGCGGUUGGGGAUGGACUCGCGGCUUAUCAGCUUGCUGGUGGGGUAGUGGCUUACCAAGGCUUUGACGGGUAGCCGGCCUGAGAGGGUGACCGGCCACAUGGGGACUACGAGACGGCCCAGACUGGUACGGGAGGCAGCAGGCGGGAAUAUUGCACAAUGAGCCGAAGCCUGAUGCAGCAACGCCGCGUGCGGGAUGACGGCCUUCGGGUUGAGAACCGCUGUCGCCUGUGACGAAGCGGGAGUGACGGUAAUGGGUAAAGAAGCACCGGCUAACUACGUG
RNAcentral lists this ribosomal RNA (468 nucleotides) under uncultured bacterium. RNAcentral describes it as "partial 16S ribosomal RNA". It matches the Rfam family "Bacterial small subunit ribosomal RNA", at positions 28 to 507 of the family's 1533-position model. The record is from RNAcentral.